Long non-coding RNA from Tarenaya hassleriana, 816 nucleotides. RefSeq lists it as uncharacterized. The record is from RefSeq and is a predicted model, not a curated record. The transcript is spliced from 3 exons. NCBI's taxonomy places the organism in Eukaryota, Viridiplantae, Streptophyta, Magnoliopsida, Brassicales, Cleomaceae.
CUUCUCCCAUGUCUCCAAUGGAGUCCAAAUCUCAAGGAAAUUCGAAUCGCUGACUCUCCUCACAUCUUCUUCACCACUCUCUACGCGACGCCUUCUGCCUCAAUCGGAACGGCUAAUCUCGUUUGUAGAUUCGUCAGAUUUUACAUCUGCGGACGGACGGAGGAUGUUCGGAAAGUACAUUACCGGCGGUGGUAAUGGCGGAGGAUCGGACAGUGAAGAGAACCGUGAUCUGUCACCUGGUUGCAUCGUUCUCAAUUUUCGAGGUAAAAUCUCGUGAGUUUGAUAGAGGGCGUUCAAUGGCUUUUUUCAACAUACACGAAAACCGCAGGGGAUGUGACUUUCUCUUUCAGCCUCCUCAUGUUUCAUCAGUUUCAGUCCCAUCCGAAAACAGAGACGGCAGCUAUUCAGAAGAGAACGAGUCUUUGUCUGAACAGCAACAGUCAGUGUCUGACUGUCUGGUUCUUGUUUCUCUUAGAGGAGAUGCACUCAAGAUUUUGUUCUUUGGAUGAACCAUGGAAAAGAGGGUUACUAUCAUUCAUUUCGACACAGGAAACAAGGUUUCAGAAGUGAAAGGAAACGAAAAAAGUUUCCUCCUUGAUCGAUCGAUAUGCCAAAACUCAGUAUUCAUAAUGGCGAUACCAAAAAAAAAGAAAAAAGGGGGGGGGAUCUGUCAGACCAUGUAUGUCAUACCGACCUGCAUGAGAUGCGAGUGAGGCACGUUCAGCUCCCUCUCCAGGCUCUGCUCCGAUUCUGACGCCGUGGAAUCCGAGGAGGAUGUGUUGUUCGGUUCGAAGAUGGGUUUGUUCAUGUCUCUGU